Molecule: unclassified non-coding RNA, 412 nt
Filed under: Hevea brasiliensis (rubber tree)
Lineage: Eukaryota; Viridiplantae; Streptophyta; Magnoliopsida; Malpighiales; Euphorbiaceae
Source: RNAcentral
UCAAGAGAAUGUAGAGUCUAGAGUCAACAAUAACUUCCAGAGCCUUUUGAUAUUCCUCUGGGCUGAUGUUCAUAUUAUAUUCUAUGAAAUUCAAAUUUCUCGGAACAAAGGAGAGGAUGUGGAGAAAAUCAUCUUGUGGAAUGAGGGGAUAAUCAGAGGCAUCAAGAUUAACAAACCAAUCCCAGUCCAUUUUCCACUUCAACAAAACAGCAGCACCAUGAAGCACAAGACCCAAAGCAGAAGACCCUUCUUCAUUAACAGCAUCAGCUUUCUCAAUAACAUUAACAUUUUCAGCUGCAACAAACACAUCAACAGAAGCCACUUUCAGAGCAAGCUGAAGUCUCUGUUUUGGUGAAGCAAAUUGAUCAAGAUGAAGUAAAUAGUAGUUUCUUGGAUGAUACACUGCUUGAAG